Molecule: long non-coding RNA, 2919 nt
Organism: Strigops habroptila (Kakapo)
Lineage: Eukaryota; Metazoa; Chordata; Aves; Psittaciformes; Psittacidae
Source: Ensembl
GGAGGAGGCGAGGCGGCACCCCGGCAUUUUGGCAUCAGUUGAUAGCAUUUUGAAUGAAAUUUUGUGGAACUGGACAAAUUAUAUCUAUUUACACGUGAAGAAUACCUGCCAUAAAGAAGUCUCAUAUAGACAUCUCUGAACUGCUUUUAGAAGAGGGCAAAGCUGGUAGAGGCCUGAAACACAUUCUUAACAUGGCUGCAUCAAAAGAAGCGUGACCAGCAGGUCAAAGGAGGCGGUCCUGCCCCUCUACUCUGCUCUUGUGAGACCUCACUUGGAGUACUGCAUACAGUCCUGGUGUCCUCAACAUAAAAAGGACAUGGAGCUGUUGGAGCGAGUCCAGAGGAGGCCCACGAGGAUGAUAAGAGGGCUGGAGCACCUCCUGUAUGAAGACAGGCUGAGAAAGUUGGGGCUGUUCAGCCUGGAGAAGAGAAGGCUGCGUGGAGACCUCAUAGCAGCCUUCCAGUAUCUGAAGGGGGUCUAUAAGGAUGCUGGGGAAGCACUCUUCCUUAGGGAGUGUAGUGGUAGGACAAGGGAUAAUGGGUUCAAACUUAAACAGGGGAAGUUUAGAUUAGAUUUAAGGAAGAAGUUCUUUACAGUGAGGGUGGUGAAGCACUGGAAUGGGUUGCCCAGGGAGGUUGUGGAUGCUCCAUCCCUGGUGGUGUUCAAGGCCAGGUUGGACAGAGCCCUGGACCACGUGGUUUAGGGCAAGGUGUCCCUGCCCAUGGCAGGGGGGUUGGAACUAGAUGAUUUUAAGGUCCUUUCCAACCCUUACGAUUCUAUUAUUCUAUGAUUCUAUGGUAGAAAUAGUGCAAGUUUGCCACAUAGAAGAAAUUAAAAAGUAUUAUUUCAUUUCAUAUUAGAUUCUUGUUGGUGAAUUGUGCUAAAUAAUUACAAGAAGGAAAAAUAUAUUACCUCCAUGUGGCUUACCAGGUAAAAAAUAAUUAUCAGUAGUCACCAUCAAGUUGUAAGCUUAGAGCAAGUAACUAUACAAGUGUUGUAUUCAUCCAUCUGCAGACUUCCUUGGCUUUUUAUUUCACCUGUACCAUUGAAAGCCUCAUCUGAUAUUUACAUUGCUUCUCACAACAAAAAUUCCUCAGUGAAUUGAUUAUGUGGUGCUAUUAUUUGCUGCUGUGAACUAAAGUCAAUGCAAAGAACAUAACUUCAUAUUACUUGUCAUACAGCAUUCAUUAUUACAUUCUUCCUACUCGCUGUUGUAGUCCAGUCUUAACACCAGCUUCUAAAUAAUUUGAAUACUUAAAUUUAGGAUGAUAGCUAAUGGUCGCAUUACUGUAUUACAUUCAGAGAAUGAGCUCUCAAAAUUCUAUAGGAAAGUUAUUCUCAAUUAUUGAAAAAAUAGGGUUUUUAUUAUUAUUUCACUGUCAUUUAUUUAAAAGGAUCUGCCCAGACAUAUAUACUACCUAUAAAUUAAUAACAGGUAAACAUAACAAUGUUUGUGCAUCCCAUUAACAAUUUAAAAUGAGAGGCACCUACCUGUAUGUUAUACCAGCCCUUAAAAGAGACAGAAAUGGAAAAGCACAAUACAUGUUUUCAUUCAUUCUAUAGAAAAAAAAUCAGAUGACAGCAAGCAAUCUCUAAGAAAACAUUGGUGCCAGGUGUAUUUUUACUGUAAUAUUACAUGCUGUCCAUAAUUUGUGAAGCUGAAUACCAACAUGUAGCUGUCAGGGAAGUUAACAUCUGAAUGAAGAGGGCAAAGAGGUCUCUUCACUGUUUUCAACAGGGUACACACAAACACUUGUCUUUGCAUUUAGAAAGCUGAUCUUAGUACACAGUUGUAAACAGCAGCAUGAGAGGUGGCUACAAUUUACCAUAUAUUUUGUGAAAAUUGCUCGAGAAAUACAUUUUUAAAACAGUACUGUCUGCAUGAAGAUCUUUAAUUCCUGCCUUUUAAAGCUGCAUUAAAAUACUCCUUGAAGAAGAACAAGGAACGAGUCUCAGAAUAACUGACUGUGCAACUAGCUUAGAUUUAUGGGUCAAAAGACACAUUCUCCCUCGACGUCAAAGGGAACAGGAUUAGGUUCUAAAGUUUUACUCUGAAACUUGCAGUUCAUUUUCAGGACUGUAAAGGUGUGGGUUUGUCAGGGGAAUUCAGAGAUCUUUGCCCCUCUCCGCACUGCCACCAGCUUUGUCCAGUGCAGUGUAUGCUCUGUAGUGUGCCACAGUCCUGUCUGUGUGACUGCAUAGCUCCUCCCAUACAGAUGAGGACUAGCUCCACCCCAUGACUAAGGCCUGGAACAGAAAUAAGGUUUAAAGUAUCUUGAUAUGUGUCCAGUUAAUGUUCUGAAAUACUUGAUUUAUCCCUUUUCGUGGCCAUUUCAGACAUAAUGAGAUGAACCCCAUGCAUACUAAAAUAUUUUUUAGGAACAUAAUGAGCCUCCAUUCUGAAAUAAAUUGCUCUGAGUAGACCUUUGAAGACAAAAGGAACAUAAGGAACCACUCGUCUGAAUGCAGUUGAAGAAUUUGAUCUUUCCUUUUAAAAAAAUGGGUUACAGUAAUACCUAAUGGAAUAAAAAAUAUUUAAUUUCCCUUUAAGGAAAAAAAAAAAAAAUCCUCAUUUGUUCAUCUGUGACAACAUCACCUUCUAAAAGAACUAAUGAUUUAAAUGAGUGUUUUCUUGGGUAGACAAUAAUAUCAUAGUACUCAGGCAAAAUAGUAAUUUCUAUAAAUUCUUUUAGUUGAAUGGGAUUUUAAAAGUGUGACAUUGUCCCAUGACAUUCUCACUGGAAAAUUCUGACUGAAACAGUAGUCAAAUAGGUAUUGUGCCUUAGAUGAUGUUUCCGCUGCCUAAACCCUAUUGGCAUUUGAAAAGGAAAAUGUCAUUAUUUACAUUGUAUUUACACACUAAGUCACCAAUUAAGGAAAAGCAGUCAUUACAUAAAUAAAUUACUAAAAUCACAGAAA